UACAGAGGGGGCAAGCGUUAUUCGGAAUUAUUGGGCGUAAAGGGCGCGUAGGCGGCUUUUCAAGUGACGGGUGAAAUCCCUCGGCUUAACCGAGGAACUGCCUGUCAGACUGGAAGGCUUGAGACCGGGAGAGGUGAGUGGAAUUCCCAGUGUAGCGGUGAAAUGCGUAGAUAUUGGGAGGAACACCAGUGGCGAAGGCGGCUCACUGGACCGGAACUGACGCUGAGGCGCGACAGCGUGGGGAGCAAACAGG
This 253-nucleotide ribosomal RNA is filed under the name uncultured bacterium. Its description in RNAcentral is "partial 16S ribosomal RNA". It matches the Rfam family "Bacterial small subunit ribosomal RNA", at positions 524 to 776 of the family's 1533-position model. The record is from RNAcentral.